UCCUCCCUCUGUCGGCGUGCUUAACACAUGCAAGUCGAACGAUGAAGCGGUGCUUGCACCGUGGAUUAGUGGCGAACGGGUGAGUAAUACGUGAGUGACCCACCUUUGACUCUGGGAUAAGCCUGGGAAACUGGGUCUAAUACCGGAUACGACCAAUCUCUGCAUGGGGUGUUGGUGGAAAGCGUUAUGGAGUGGUUUUAGAUGGGCUCACGGCCUAUCAGCUUGUUGGUGAGGUAAUGGCUUACCAAGGCGACGACGGGUAGCCGGCCUGAGAGGGUGACCGGCCACACUGGGACUGAGACACGGCCCAGACUCCUACGGGAGGCAGCAGUGGGGAAUAUUGCACAAUGGGCGCAAGCCUGAUGCAGCGACGCCGCGUGAGGGAUGACGGCCUUCGGGUUGUAAACCUCUGUUAGCAUCGAAGAAGCGAAAGUGACGGUAGGUGCAGAGAAAGCGCCGGCUAACUACGUG
Molecule: ribosomal RNA, 471 nt
Filed under: uncultured bacterium
Lineage: Bacteria
Description: partial 16S ribosomal RNA
Rfam family: Bacterial small subunit ribosomal RNA
Source: RNAcentral